Cornus florida is the source of this 3417-nucleotide long non-coding RNA. RefSeq lists it as uncharacterized. NCBI's taxonomy places the organism in Eukaryota, Viridiplantae, Streptophyta, Magnoliopsida, Cornales, Cornaceae. The record is from RefSeq and is a predicted model, not a curated record. The transcript is spliced from 3 exons.
UUAGCCUCGCCUCUUCAUUACUCCAAUCUCAUUUCAGCCGCGCCUCCUUCACUAACUCAGCCUCUUCUUUUCACCUCUUCGGUCUUCUCCUCUUGCCCCUGUGAGUCUGUGACACUCUUCGCCUCUGUCUUCCUCUCGCCUCCCAAUCUCUCGCUUCUCAAUCUAACACCUCUCAACGAUCGUUCACCAGAUUCGAAGCAACGGCGACCUCUGCGUAUCGAAGCAACGGCGACCUCUUUGACUGGAUCUACCUCUUUUCCGGGUUAGCAUCGGGCAUUAACAUUUAGGAAGAAUAAGGUUCAAGAAACAUGCCUCCUCAGUCAUCGGGUUACUUUUUUGAAAGAAGAGAGUUGAUGGGAAUGGGUGGAAUGGGCAAAAAGAAAAUAGGAUGUUUUUUUUGCCUAUCUAAUUGAGUUAUAUAAAUCCCCUUACCAUUGUAGCAGCGAUGUUGGUUUUAAAAUGACCAAUUAUGAUACGAAGUCUCUUUUCAAUUAUCUUAAUCAAAUGUAUAUCUAUGCAAGAGGAUUAUGUGAUUCUAGAUGACGAUUCUAGAUGAGGAUGUUAAUGUUAACGUUAUGAGGAUGUUGAUGUCAACGUUAACUCUAUCGCACUCCAUCGUGCCAGUACUCAUCCGCACUCGGAUCAUUCAAACUUUUGCAAUUGCUUGUGCUAACACUGACUAGCACUUGCUCAUGUUUAUCACUUACGUUGUGAUGUCUCACGCCAUCCACCAAGAUCGAACACUCACUCGUAUUCGAACUCUCGCACCCACGCGUGCCAACAAUCACUAGCACUUGCUUAUGCCUAUAACUUAUGUUAUAGUGCCUAUCACCAUCCUCUUGGCUUGCACACUUUUACACACUUUAACUAUUGCACUCGCUCUAACGUGCCCGCACAUUCUUACUUGUGUAUAUCAUUUUGCGUUAUAGUGUCUCUCGCCAUCUACUUGGCUUGCACACUCUUUGACACUUGAACUCUUGCACUCAUUAGUAACCCUGGCAUCGCUCCAGGUUACCAAACCCUGGAAUUACUCUGGGUCAUCAAGCCCUGGUAUCGCACUAGGUCACCAAACCAUGGUACUGCACUAGGUCACCCAACUAUGGUCUCGCUUCGGCUUACCAAACCCUGGUAUCACUCCUGGUCAUCAAGCCUUGGUGUCACACCAAGCCUUGGUGUUACGUAUACUUGCUUAGGGAAUUUCAGGGGAUCUUUGUGAUGAGUACAUAAAGGUUGGCAAGCGCACUGCGAUCGAAAGCUUGAAGAGAUUUUGUGAUGCUGUAAUUGCAUUGUAUGCGAAGCAGUACCUACGCUCGCCAAACGAAAGCGACAUUGCACAUUUACUUCAAAAAGGGGAAGAAAGAGGAUUCCCAAGUAUGCUUGGCUCUAUAAAUUGUAUGCAUUGGGAAUGGAAGAAUUGCCCUAAAGGGUGGCAUGGCACACACAAGGGGAGAGGUCGUAAGCCUACCCUCAUAUUGGAAGCAGUUGCAUCAAAAAAUCUAUGGAUCUGGCAUACUUUCUUUGGUAUGGCUGGUUCACACAAUGACGUGAAUGUCUUAGAUCAUUCCCCAGUAUUCAAUCGUAUCAUUAAUGAUACAAUGCCUUUAGUUAAUUACGAGGUGAAUGGACAUCACCGUACGUUGCGGUAUUACCUAUCUGAUGGUAUAUACCCUAAGUAGGCAACUUUGAUUCAAAUCAUCCCGCACCCAACUACUGGAAAAGAGAAAUUGUUUGCUCAAAGACAAGAAGCCGUUAGGAAUGAUGUUGAACGUGCAUUUGGUGUGUUGCAGAUAAGGUAGGCUAUAACGCAUGGACCAGUAUAUUAUUGGAAGAAAGAAGACCUGAGCAAGAUAAUGAGAACGUGCAUCAUAUUGCACAACAUGAUCAUAAAAGACAAGGGCGACACUAACAUUUUGGAAUGGACACCUCCAAUGGAUGAGUCGGUCUACCUUCCACAGUACAAUCGAAAGAAAGAAGACCUGAGCAAGAUAAUGAGAACGUGCAUCAUAUUGCACAACAUGAUCAUAAAAGACAAGGGCGACACUAACAUUUUGGAAUGGACACCUCCAAUGGAUGAGUCGGUCUACCUUCCACAGUACAAUCGAGACCGAUCAUUUUUGGCAGCACACAUCUCCACUCGCCUUAGCAGGAUUCGCAAUGUAGAAAGCAAUGGAGAUCUCAGGAGAGAUCUUAUGGAGCAUUUGUGAAAUAAAUUUGGCAAUGAAGAGGUUUAACGAUAAUAUUGAGUAAAAUGUAUUUCUUCAUAUUAUAUGUUUGUGAUGAAUAAAAUAUUACUUUACAAAUUUUUUUUCUUAUAUAUUUGUUGACAAAUUUUAAAGAAAAAAAAAUCAAAAUCAUAAAAAAAAAAUUUACAAUAAAAUCAAAUUACAUAUAAAAGGAAAUAGUAACGAAAAAAAAAAUUAAAACCAUUUCUAACAAUAUGAUUUUUUUUUAAAAAAAUUCAUAUAUAUUUGUUGACAAAUUUUUUUAAAAAAAAUUUCAAGAGACGAAGAAAUACAAAUCAUAAAUAUUUAUUUCAAAAAAAAAAAAAUAAAUAAAAUAAUCAAAAUCAUAAAUAUUUUUUUUACAAUAAAAAUAAAUUACAUAUAAAAAGAAAUAGUAAAGAAAAAAACCAAAAGAAAAAAAACAAAGAGCCGUUGCAGCAGUGGUGGGCCUUGUUUGGCUCGCAAUAGCUUUGUUACCUGUUGCGAGGUCCUUUGCUAUUCUUCCUCUGGGUCCCACAAAUUGCUAGCCUUAUACCAAAGCAAACACUAGCAAUUCUAACUCCCUAGCUAGCAAUAAAGGCCUUAUACCGGUUGCUCUAAGUAGUUAGAUGAAGACAAACAACUUUUAUACCGUAUUCAUAAAUUGCUACAAGGACAUAUUAAGAAAUUCGUAUCAUACUAUUAUAAAAAAAAAUCAUAAAAAUUAACACUCUUAAAAAAUUAUAUAUUUUAAAAGCGACAUCUUUUACGGGACAGAGGAAAUAUAUAUAUAUAUACUCUUGGAACCUUUUUUAUUUUUCAUUUAAAAGGGCUUAAACAAGCCCAUCGUUCAACCUGACAGUAGUACAAAAAAAACUUUUUAAAAAAACUAGUGUACAUAAUUUUACCUUAUUCAUUCUACAAUGACAAUGGAUAUGUACACUAGUUUUAAGCCCUUUUAAAUGAAAAAUAAAAAAGGUUCCAAGUCCUCUGUAGGAGCAGUGUCUCAGUAACAUAUAUCGUAUAUGGUAUAUAGUAUAUAAUAUAUACUACAAUGACAAUGAAUAAGAUUAUUUAUACUUAGUUCAAUUAGUUGAAGAUCCUUUAAGAGACAAAGUUGUUUCCUGAUGAUUAGACAUAAUCCAUUGUCAUUGUAGAAUGAAUAAGGUAAAAUUAUGUACACUAGUUUUUUUUAAAAAGUUUUUUUUGUACUACU